Molecule: transfer RNA, 73 nt
Filed under: Camelus bactrianus (Bactrian camel)
Lineage: Eukaryota; Metazoa; Chordata; Mammalia; Artiodactyla; Camelidae
Also listed under: 1 other name
Rfam family: tRNA
About the family: Transfer RNA (tRNA) molecules are approximately 80 nucleotides in length. Their secondary structure includes four short double-helical elements and three loops (D, anti-codon, and T loops). Further hydrogen bonds mediate the characteristic L-shaped molecular structure. tRNAs have two regions of fundamental functional importance: the anti-codon, which is responsible for specific mRNA codon recognition, and the 3' end, to which the tRNAs corresponding amino acid is attached (by aminoacyl-tRNA synthetases). tRNAs cope with the degeneracy of the genetic code in two manners: having more than one tRNA (with a specific anti-codon) for a particular amino acid; and 'wobble' base-pairing, i.e. permitting non-standard base-pairing at the 3rd anti-codon position.
Source: Rfam by way of RNAcentral
GAGGGUAUAGCUCAAGUGGUAGAGCACAUGCUUCGCAUGCACAAGGUCCUGGGUUCAAUCCCCAGUACCUCCU